CCAAUGGGAGACACUGGUGGGAGCUUGGAAGGAGGGUAGAAGGGAGAAGGAAGCUCUUUUAUUUCUCCUUCUGUUGAAGUCUCUGGCAGUGGCAGCAUAGCAACGACAGUAGGUGACGAGUGAGUUUCUGUUCAGCACACGUUUUGCCAUGUGACUAAGCCAUCCUUUUUAUCCGGUGCUACAGCCUAUUUCUUUGCUCCCCAGAAUUUCAGAUGGUCUUGUGAAUUACUCAGGCUUACAAAAUGAGCCUGAAGAGACAUGUGAGUUCCAGAGGCCAGACUCAAGAGGUCUGGUGAAUUCUGCCUUCAGCCAUUUGGAACAUUGUCCUUUAAAGUCCCCGAAGUGAGCAGGUCUGGCCUGCAUUGGAGGAUGAGAAGCCAGAAGCAGAAGAAAGAAGAUGCCCCAGCCAGCAGCCAGUACCACAUUCCAGAGAUGUCUAGGAGGGCACCGCUCACAGGAGGAUCCUAGGAUGACCUGCUUCACGUGAAGGUCAGAAGAUCCUGGGGUUUAUGACCUGAUUCAGGAGGAAAGGCAACGGAAAAGCUCUGGAGACAUCCUGGAGUUUGCCCUUAUGACUCAACUAAGAAGACCCCUCAGGACGGAGGGUGGGACAGCUGGGCUGAAGUUGGGAACUGAGAGAGUGAUGGAGAAACCCCUCCCCAUUCUGUGCUCUAGGACAGGGGCCAGGGCACACGUGCUGCUCUUGUUCAUUGCCUCGCUGGCCAGCAGGCUGCCCCUUGCCCUCGCUUUCAAUACACUAGCACCUGUGCAGGAAAACAGAAGAAAAGAACGCACAUUCUUCAGGCUUUUGUGAUCCCUUCUGUGUUCAUUCGCAUGAACUACAGAACUACAGCUGGGAAAAUCCCCAUGGCUAUGCAUGCAAAGGUGUGCGCACAGGCGACUCCUUCCGGGGUACUAGCUGGAACAACAAACACUAUGUUAUUUGU
Cebus imitator (Panamanian white-faced capuchin) is the source of this 947-nucleotide long non-coding RNA. RefSeq lists it as uncharacterized. NCBI's taxonomy places the organism in Eukaryota, Metazoa, Chordata, Mammalia, Primates, Cebidae. The record is from RefSeq and is a predicted model, not a curated record. The transcript has 4 exons.